RNAcentral lists this ribosomal RNA (709 nucleotides) under Herbaspirillum frisingense. Its description in RNAcentral is "bacterial SSU rRNA". It matches the Rfam family "Bacterial small subunit ribosomal RNA", at positions 61 to 763 of the family's 1533-position model. Lineage: Bacteria; Pseudomonadati; Pseudomonadota; Betaproteobacteria; Burkholderiales; Oxalobacteraceae. The record is from RNAcentral.
GUCGAACGGCAGCAUAGGAGCUUGCUCCUGAUGGCGAGUGGCGAACGGGUGAGUAAUAUAUCGGAACGUGCCCUAGAGUGGGGGAUAACUAGUCGAAAGACUAGCUAAUACCGCAUACGAUCUACGGAUGAAAGUGGGGGAUCGCAAGACCUCAUGCUCCUGGAGCGGCCGAUAUCUGAUUAGCUAGUUGGUGGGGUAAAAGCUCACCAAGGCGACGAUCAGUAGCUGGUCUGAGAGGACGACCAGCCACACUGGGACUGAGACACGGCCCAGACUCCUACGGGAGGCAGCAGUGGGGAAUUUUGGACAAUGGGGGCAACCCUGAUCCAGCAAUGCCGCGUGAGUGAAGAAGGCCUUCGGGUUGUAAAGCUCUUUUGUCAGGGAAGAAACGGUUCUGGAUAAUACCUGGAGCUAAUGACGGUACCUGAAGAAUAAGCACCGGCUAACUACGUGCCAGCAGCCGCGGUAAUACGUAGGGUGCAAGCGUUAAUCGGAAUUACUGGGCGUAAAGCGUGCGCAGGCGGUUGUGUAAGUCAGAUGUGAAAUCCCCGGGCUCAACCUGGGAAUUGCAUUUGAGACUGCACGGCUAGAGUGUGUCAGAGGGGGGUAGAAUUCCACGUGUAGCAGUGAAAUGCGUAGAUAUGUGGAGGAAUACCGAUGGCGAAGGCAGCCCCCUGGGAUAACACUGACGCUCAUGCACGAAAGCGUG